CGUCUGGUAAUUGGAAUGAGUACAAUUUAAUUCCCUUAACGAGGAUCAAUUGGAGGGCAAGUCUGGUGCCAGCAGCCGCGGUAAUUCCAGCUCCAAUAGCGUAUAUUAAAAUUGUUGCAGUUAAAAAGCUCGUAGUUGGAUUUCUGGUACGGCGCACUUGGCCCGCUUCGGUUACGAGGUCGAGUGCCGGUGUGCGCCUGCCAUCCUUCUAGAGUACGUCUCUCCCUUCAGUGGGUUGGGCCGGAAUCUAGAUCAUUUACUUUGAAAAAAUUAGAGUGUUUAAAGCAGGCUUACGCUGUGAAUACAUUAGCAUGGAAUAAUAAUUUAGGACUUUGGUCUUAUUUUGUUGGUUUCUAGGACUAAAGUAAUGAUUGAUAGGGACAGUUGGGGGUGCUAGUAUUCAGCGGCCAGAGGUGAAAUUCUUGGAUUCGCUGAAGACUAACUUAUGCGAAAGCAUUCACCAAGGAUGUCUUCUUUAAUCAAGAACGAAAGUUGGGGGAUCGAAGACGAUCAGAUACCGUCGUAGUCUCAACCAUAAACUAUGCCGACUAGGGAUGAGUGAACGUUGCUUAUUCGACUUCAUUCGCACCUUAUGAGAAAUUAAAGUCUUUGGGUUCCGGGGGGAGUAUGGUCGCAAGGCUGAAACUUAAAGGAAUUGACGGAAGGGCACACCAGGAGUGGAGCCUGCGGCUUAAUUUGACCCAACACGGGAAAACUUACCAGGUCCAGACAUAAUAAGGAUUGACAGAUUGAAGAUCUUUCUUGAUUUUAUGGGUGGUGGUGCAUGGCCGUUCUUAGUUGGUGGAGUGAUUUGUCUGGUUAAUUCCGUUAACGAACGAGACCUCGACCUGCUAAACAGUUUGGUGAAUUCUCCGGGAUUCAUUUACGACUUCUUAGAGGGACUAUCGGUGAUUUAGCCGAUGGAAGUUCGAGGCAAUAACAGGUCUGUGAUGCCCUUAGAUGUCCUGGGCCGCACGCGCGCUACACUGAUACGUUCAUCGAGCUUACAACCUUGUCUGAGAGGACUGGGUAAUCUUUUUAAACCGUAUCGUGCUGGGGAUAGAUUAUUGUAAUUUUUAAUCUUCAACGAGGAAUUCCUAGUAAACGCUGGUCAUCAACCAGCAUUGAUUACGUCCCUGCCCUUUGUACACACCGCCCGUCGCUACUACCGAUUGAAUGGCUUAGUGAGUUUCAGGGAUUGUUGUAUUGUCGAGGUUCGCCUUUCCAGUACAUCCGAGAACUGAAUCAAACUUGAUCAUUUAGAGGAAGUAAAAGUCGUA
RNAcentral lists this ribosomal RNA (1280 nucleotides) under metagenome. RNAcentral's name for it is "SSU rRNA". It matches the Rfam family "Eukaryotic small subunit ribosomal RNA", at positions 499 to 1793 of the family's 1831-position model. The record is from RNAcentral.